UUGGGACGAGUGACACUGGUGCAUCAGCACUGUGCCGAGAGCUCAAGAGGGAAACCUCGUAUGGGUGCGUGUAUUGCUUUAAGAAAGAAUCACGUGACCGUUACAGGAACUGUAUCGUUUGGAUGUGCCGCGCCAAAGUGUGUUUAUCAGGAAACAAACUGUCGUGGUUUUUUUGGAUGGAGAUUUGCUUAAUCAUGGAUCGUCCUAGGAGGUGUUCCCCGGUGAGGAAUAAUUCUGAUCUCGUGACACUAAACAAGGUAAAUCUUUUUCUCCUUUAUAUACUAUUUUUUACGGUGGCGCAUUGCACUCACUUUAUCAGUUUAUCAAGUUGAUGACCUCUGAUACAUAUGAUAGUCGGUUAAAGAGCCUUACAGUUGCUUUAUUCAUGUGAUCAUGUAAUUAUGAGAUCCUGAUCUCGUAAUCAUGAGAUAGGGUGUCUAUUUUUUUAACAAGUGAAUGCAAUGUUCUUGUAAGAGGUUUGAAUUGUUUUCAGAUAAAUUAACGUUUUAUGUUAUUGUAGGUGAAGUGUCAGCUCUGCUUCACAGAGCUAUCUUAUAUCAAUAAGAGCAUUUCAUCAAUGCUGAGGCAUUAUAGAGCUCAGCAUGGCAAUGAAGAAUUGGCAGAUACUCGUGAGAGUACCCCAGUUCCUAACAAGCAAGCAGUGGAUGAGGCAGUGGUCAAUAUGAUCAUCAAAGACUGUCAGCCACUCAGCUUUGUUGAAAAUGAGGGAUUCAGGGAGCUCCUUAAGCUUAUUGUACCCCUGUAUGCUCUACCAAGCAGGAAGGUAUGUUUAAGAAUUUUUAUUAUAUGUUUGUACUAACUAUAUAACUAUAUUUUAUUGGUGUAACAGUAUUUGUAUGGUUAUUUUCAGCCAGAGAUAUGAGGAGGAAAAGGAGAAAAAACCAAAAAGGACCUCCAGAGUGCCGUUGCUGUUACUUUAACAGCUGAUAUGUGGACGUCUAUGAAUAUGGAGGCAUAUCUAGCUGUUACUGGCCACUAUGUGGACAAAGAAAGUCAUGAACUCCAUUCAUCAUUCUUGGCAGUGCAGCAUUUUCCUCAGAAACACACUGCAGAAAACAUUGCCACGGUUAAAAGGAGCCUCAUGGAGGAGUGGGGAAUAGCAUAAAAGGUCAGGUGUCUUGUCACUGAUGCAGCAGCAAACAUGACUGCAUGUGCUCGAAUGCUGCAAAUACGGCAUACCAAUUGUAUAGUCCAUUCUCUGAAUUUAAUUGUGAGAAAAUCAUGUAAUCAAAUCCCAACAAUAACUGAAAUACGCAACAAAACACGACACAUUGUGACAUACUUUUGAUCGAGCGAGACUGCUAAAGAGAAGCUCACUCAAAUACAGCAACAGCUGGGAACACCGGGCCAUAAAUGAAUAAAAACGAGGUGCCAUAAUGAUGGAACAGUACCUACCAAAUGUUUGAAAGAAUGACUGAGCAGAAGGAGGCAGUCUGGGUGUCACUGGCCUCAUUAAAACCUGACAUCACUCCACUGACUCCAGAAGAAUGUCAGAUCAUUAGAUUAGAUUAGAUUUAUUUAUUAAUCCCACGAAUGGGAAAUUUCCUUGUCACAGUAGCAUGGAGUUUGGCACAAGUAUGUACAGACAGUAAUGACAAAUACACAUUUUGAAAGAAUAUAUACGAAAAUAAGAGUGUUCUGAAAAAUAAACAGGGAAAGAGAUGUGCAGGAAUAUAGAAGUCAUCUGUAUAUACAGUUUUGGUACAGUGGAAUAAAAAUGAAAAACUAUAAAACUAUUUACUUAGGCUGGUGUUGAACAGCCUGAUGGCAGCUGGGAUGAAGGACCUGCGGUAGCGUUCCUUCUUGCAUCUUUGAAGAGAUUCUCAGGGUUCUUGCUCCUUUUGACCAAGCUACAAGACAACUGUCUGAGGGAAUAAAGGGUCUCUGGGUCGACGGUCAUUUCCAUGAUGAGAAUGCUCCACAUUGAGCUUCAACGUCAGGCCACAACAGUGACAAAAACAGCUGCUCAGCAACUGGCUGAAAACCUGAGGAAGCGGCUAACUGACACUAUUUGCGGCAUGGAAUCUCUCAGUGUGAUGACUCUGGCAACUCUGUUAGAUCCCAGAUUUAAAAAGAAUGGAUUUGCUAGUCAGCAAAAGGCAAGUGAAGCGGCGAAGAGACUGCAGUCAGAAUGUGCAGAAGAAAUGAGGAGCCAAGAGCCUGACCCAAGAGAAGAAGAACCUAGCUCUUCACAUGGGUCAGAACCCAGUUCAGGUAUGAAAAUACAUUUCUUUGGAACUUUGUGAUGUGAUAUAUCAUGUGAUAAUAAAGUAAUGAUUAACUAUUUUUUUAGGGCACAAUCCCUGGAAAACUUUAGAUAUGGAGGUUGCAGAGACCCAGAAUACGAGGAACGCAACAUCUGACUUCAUUAUUGAAGUCCAACGCUACCUGGCAGAAACAAACACACCUAGAAACCAAGAUUCUUUGCAAUAUUGGAAAUGGAACCAGGAAAUAUACCCACAUCUUCAUCAACUUGCACUUAAAAACUCUGCUCACCAUCCUCGCCUGUACCAUGUGAAAGAGUAUUUUCCAAGGCUGGGGAGCUGGUGUGUAAGAGGAGAAAUCGCCUUGGAGUAAAGACACUCCAAAAACUUUUGUUUCUCAAUAAAAAUUCAUGAACUAA
This is a non-coding RNA of Oryzias latipes (Japanese medaka), 2644 nucleotides long. Lineage: Eukaryota; Metazoa; Chordata; Actinopteri; Beloniformes; Adrianichthyidae. The record is from RefSeq and is a predicted model, not a curated record.